RNAcentral lists this ribosomal RNA (253 nucleotides) under uncultured bacterium. RNAcentral describes it as "partial 16S ribosomal RNA". It matches the Rfam family "Bacterial small subunit ribosomal RNA", at positions 524 to 776 of the family's 1533-position model. The record is from RNAcentral.
UACGUAGGGCGCAAGCGUUGUCCGGAAUUAUUGGGCGUAAAGAGCUCGUAGGCGGCUUGUCACGUCGGGUGUGAAAGCCCGGGGCUUAACCCCGGGUCUGCAUUCGAUACGGGCUAGCUAGAGUGUGGUAGGGGAGAUCGGAAUUCCUGGUGUAGCGGUGAAAUGCGCAGAUAUCAGGAAGAACACCCGUGGCUAAGGCGGCUCUCUAGUACGGUACUGACGCUGAGACGCGAAAGCGUGGGGAGCGAACAGG